GACGAACGCUAGCGGCGUGCUUAACACAUGCAAGUCGAGCGGAAAGGCCACUUCGGUGGUACUCGAGCGGCGAACGGGUGAGUAACACGUGAGUAAUCUGCCCCUGGCUUUGGGAUAGCCACCGGAAACGGUGAUUAAUACCGGAUACGACCACUUCUCGCAUGGGAUGGCGGUGGAAAGUUUUUUCGGCCAGGGAUGUGCUCGCGGCCUAUCAGCUUGAUGGUGAGGUAAUGGCUCACCAUGGCUUCGACGGGUAGCCGGCCUGAGAGGGUGACCGGUCACACUGGGACUGAGACACGGCCCAGACUCCUACGGGAGGCAGCAGUGGGGAAUAUUGGACAAUGGGCGGAAGCCUGAUCCAGCAACGCCGCGUGAGGGAUGACGGCCUUCGGGUUGUAAACCUCUUUCAGCAGGGACGAAGCGCAAGUGACGGUACCUGCAGAAGAAGCACCGGCCAACUACGUGCCAGCCGCCGCAGUAA
This 481-nucleotide ribosomal RNA is filed under the name uncultured bacterium. RNAcentral describes it as "partial 16S ribosomal RNA". It matches the Rfam family "Bacterial small subunit ribosomal RNA", at positions 28 to 523 of the family's 1533-position model. The record is from RNAcentral.